RNAcentral lists this ribosomal RNA (387 nucleotides) under uncultured bacterium. RNAcentral describes it as "bacterial SSU rRNA". It matches the Rfam family "Bacterial small subunit ribosomal RNA", at positions 28 to 416 of the family's 1533-position model. The record is from RNAcentral.
GACGAACGCUGGCGGCGUGCCUAACACAUGCAAGUCAACUUGACUGAAGGAGCAAUCUGACAGUAGAGUGGCGCAAGGGUGCGUAACGCGUAAGUAACUUGCCCAAGGUAAGGAAUAACGUCGAGAAAUCGGCGCUAAUACCUCAUAAUGCAGCGGAUCCGCAUGGAUAUGUUGUUAAAGGUUUACCGCCUUGGGAUAGGCUUGCGUCUGAUUAGCUAGUUGGUGUGGUAACGGCACACCAAGGCUACGAUCAGUAACUGGUCUGAGAGGAUGAUCAGUCACACUGGAACUGAGACACGGUCCAGACUCCUACGGGAGGCAGCAGUGAGGAAUAUUGGGCAAUGCUCGAAAGAGUGACCCAGCAACGCCGCGUGGAGGAUGAAGGUA